GAGGAAAGAGGGAGGCGUGCCUAAUACAUGCCAGUCGAGCGAACGGACGAGAAGCUUGCUUCUCUGAUGUUAGCGGCGGACGGGUGAGUAACACGUGGAUAACCUACCUAUAAGACUGGGAUAACUUCGGGAAACCGGAGCUAAUACCGGAUAAUAUUUUGAACCGCAUGGUUCAAAAGUGAAAGACGGUCUUGCUGUCACUUAUAGAUGGAUCCGCGCUGCAUUAGCUAGUUGGUAAGGUAACGGCUUACCAAGGCAACGAUGCAUAGCCGACCUGAGAGGGUGAUCGGCCACACUGGAACUGAGACACGGUCCAGACUCCUACGGGAGGCAGCAGUAGGGAAUCUUCCGCAAUGGGCGAAAGCCUGACGGAGCAACGCCGCGUGAGUGAUGAAGGUCUUCGGAUCGUAAAACUCUGUUAUUAGGGAAGAACAUAUGUGUAAGUAACUGUGCACAUCUUGACGGUACCUAAUCAGAAAGCCACGGCUAACUACGUG
This 497-nucleotide ribosomal RNA is filed under the name uncultured bacterium. Its description in RNAcentral is "partial 16S ribosomal RNA". It matches the Rfam family "Bacterial small subunit ribosomal RNA", at positions 28 to 507 of the family's 1533-position model. The record is from RNAcentral.